AGAGAAGCGAAUCGGUGACGUGGAGCAAACCUCAGAAAGCCAAUCUCAGUUCGGAUUGUAGGCUGCAACUCGCCUACAUGAAGUUGGAAUCGCUAGUAAUCGCGAAUCAGAAUGUCGCGGUGAAUACGUUCCCGGGUCUUGUACACACCGCCCGUCACACCACGAGAGUUUACAACACCCGAAGUCAGUGGCCUAACCGCAAGGAGGGAGCUGCCUAAGGUGGGGUAGAUGAUUGGGGUGAAGUCGUAACAAGGUAUC
Molecule: ribosomal RNA, 258 nt
Filed under: uncultured bacterium
Lineage: Bacteria
Description: partial 16S ribosomal RNA
Rfam family: Bacterial small subunit ribosomal RNA
Source: RNAcentral